UUACUAUUUUGUAGUUCCAGGGUUCUAAUAAGCUCCUUGCCUGGAGAUACAGUAGGAACCUAACAUCCUCACGUGGUCUCUCUUUGCCUUUCCUUUGGGCUGUCUCCUUGAAUAUUUCUUCUCCUUACCAUCUGGUUUCUGCUCACCCAUUAGUUGGGACUGAUGUCUGGCAGUUCUCUGUUCCCAGCCUCACCAGUCAUAUGUUUCCUUUCUCCUUGAGCAGGGUUUCCCAUUCCUACACCUCAGCUGAUCUGCCUGCAAGAACAAGGAGAGAUGGCAUGGGUCCAGACUUAAGGGAAAUCCAGGAUGAGGAAGACCAAAGCACUUGGCCAACUGUAUAUCAGACACAUCCAGCAGAGGACACCUGGAGUCUACCAUGCACUGGCCCUUGGUACCAACUCAGGCACUAUGAGCCCCACCAGCUUCUCGGCAUUCCUCAGUUCUGUUUCAGAUAGUGGGCAUGCAACACUGUGCAAAACAGUACGGUGAUUCCUUAAAAGACUGGGAAUAGACUUACCAUAUGACCCAGCAAUCCCACUACUGGGCAUAUAUCCAGAAGGAACCCUACUUCAAAAGGAUACCUGCACCCCAGUGUUCAUAGCAGCAGUAUUUACAAUAGCCAAGACAUGGAAACAGCCUAAAUGUCCAUCGACAGAUG
Molecule: long non-coding RNA, 658 nt
Organism: Camelus dromedarius (Arabian camel)
Lineage: Eukaryota; Metazoa; Chordata; Mammalia; Artiodactyla; Camelidae
Exons: 3
Source: RefSeq, a predicted model, not a curated record